GGAAAAGAACGGUGAGACAGAUUGGAAUCGAUGAAGCCAAAAAGGGGGAAAGGGAAAUAGGAUCUCUAAAUUGCUUUUGAUCAGAAGGAGAGGAUUCAUGAACGGAGAGGGGAGGAAACGACAACAGGGGGUGUUUGGAGGGAAGCUAAGCUCGUCCUCGAUUGGAAUCAUCGCCACUGUGUUUUAUUCAAUUCCGACAGAAAUAGGGUUGAUGUUCAAUUCCAGGCAGUGGGUUUCGCCGGCAGCUCCCAAUCGAGUUGAAGCCUACCUGUCCCUUGAAUCGGAUAAAAAUAUAGCAGGUAAUUUUGGGACUUUUGAGUCUGCGGUUUUAGGAGUGGCUAAUGUUGAUAAACUGGCGGAGCUUCGACGAUCAAGACCCAAAAGAGCUUGACCUACGAUCCCUGGUCCUCCUCCUCCAAAAGGAUCAACCAUAGAACACCAAAAACAGAAGGGCCUUUGGGCUGUUAAACUACUAUCAGCCGAUGCCACCGUUGUCCGGAGAACGCUUUCCACUCUUACAGAAAACCCAAACGAUCUUGAAGGAGUUAGUGAGGAUCCUAAACAUGCAAAGAAACACUCCUCCUUUUGGUCUACAAUAAAACCUUCUCAUUUCAGAGUAAAGAUUGCCACCAAGAAUCUUCUAGGUAUGAUUGGGAUCAUCGUCACCGAGAUAUCAAUUGGGCUUCUGGGCAGCUUCUCAUUCGAGAGGUGGCUUCUAUUGAAAUUCCCAUCUUUUUCCAGUUUUGGAGGGUUCAGAAAGGAAGGUCCCACAGAGGAAGAAGUCGCUAGCGCCAGUUUCAAGAUGUGGUUCAUCGACCAUGGCUUUAGUGAAUCCUCUCCUCUUCACCACUUCUUUUUCUUGUUCCAGUUACUGUCGAUGAGAGGGGGAGGAAGGCAGAAAGAAAACGACAACAGGGGGUGUUUGGGUUGCUUGGUGUGUCGUAAAACAGUAGGAGAAAACGGAGGGGGCUGCUGCCCUUGGCUCGCCGGAAACCACCAGCAAACACCUCUGGUGGGGGUGUUUUUGUUGCACCUCGAAGAUAGGAGAAAAAGAAGGGAGUGUGAGAGGAAAUGGAAGAAUGAAAAAUUGUAUUUAUCUAUGAAUUACAGUUAUUCAUAA
Non-coding RNA from Lactuca sativa (garden lettuce), 1120 nucleotides. The record is from RefSeq and is a predicted model, not a curated record. Lineage: Eukaryota; Viridiplantae; Streptophyta; Magnoliopsida; Asterales; Asteraceae.